RNAcentral lists this ribosomal RNA (440 nucleotides) under uncultured bacterium. RNAcentral's name for it is "partial 16S ribosomal RNA". It matches the Rfam family "Bacterial small subunit ribosomal RNA", at positions 338 to 795 of the family's 1533-position model. The record is from RNAcentral.
CCUACGGGAGGCAGCAGUAGGGAAUAUUGCUCAAUGGGGGAAACCCUGAAGCAGCAACGCCGCGUGGAGGAUGAAGGUUUUCGGUUUGUAAACCCCUUUCGUCAGAGAAGAUAAUGACGGUACCUAACUAAUAAGCACCGGCUAACUCCGUGCCAGCAGCCGCGGUAAUACGGAGGGUGCAAGCGUUACCCGGAUUUACUGGGCGUAAAGAGCGCGUAGGCGGGAUAGCAAGUCAGAUGUGAAAUCCUAUGGCUUAACCCUAGAACUGCAUUUGAAACUGUUAUACUAGAGUAUGGGAGAGGUAGGUGGAAUUCUUGGUGUAGGGGUAAAAUCCGUAGAGAUCAAGAGGAAUACUCAUGGCGAAGGCGACCUACUAGAACAUAACUGACGCUGAUGCGCGAAAGCGUGGGGAGCAAACAGGAUUAGAUACCCCAGUAGUC